UACGGAGGAUGCAAGCGUUGUCCGGAAUUAUUGGGCGUAAAGGGUCCGUAGGCGGUUUGGUAAGUCAGAGGUGAAAGCCCAUCGCUCAACGGUGGAACGGCCAUUGAUACUGCUAAACUUGAAUUAUUAGGAAGUAACUAGAAUAUGUAGUGUAGCGGUGAAAUGCUUAGAGAUUACAUGGAAUACCAAUUGCGAAGGCAGGUUACUACUAAUGGAUUGACGCUGAUGGACGAAAGCGUGGGUAGCGAACAGG
RNAcentral lists this ribosomal RNA (253 nucleotides) under uncultured bacterium. RNAcentral describes it as "partial 16S ribosomal RNA". It matches the Rfam family "Bacterial small subunit ribosomal RNA", at positions 524 to 776 of the family's 1533-position model. The record is from RNAcentral.